This 588-nucleotide ribosomal RNA is filed under the name uncultured bacterium. Its description in RNAcentral is "bacterial SSU rRNA". It matches the Rfam family "Bacterial small subunit ribosomal RNA", at positions 338 to 916 of the family's 1533-position model. The record is from RNAcentral.
CCUACGGGAGGCAGCAGUAGGGAAUCUUCCGCAAUGGACGAAAGUCUGACGGAGCAACGCCGCGUGAGCGAUGAAGGCCUUCGGGUCGUAAAGCUCUGUUGUUAGGGAAGAACAAGUGCUAGUUGAAUAAGCUGGCGCCUUGACGGUACCUAACCAGAAAGCCACGGCUAACUACGUGCCAGCAGCCGCGGUAAUACGUAGGUGGCAAGCGUUGUCCGGAAUUAUUGGGCGUAAAGCGCGCGCAGGCGGUUUCUUAAGUCUGAUGUGAAAGCCCCCGGCUCAACCGGGGAGGGUCAUUGGAAACUGGGAAACUUGAGUGCAGAAGAGGAAAGUGGAAUUCCAAGUGUAGCGGUGAAAUGCGUAGAGAUUUGGAGGAACACCAGUGGCGAAGGCGACUUUCUGGUCUGUAACUGACGCUGAGGCGCGAAAGCGUGGGGAGCAAACAGGAUUAGAUACCCUGGUAGUCCACGCUGUAAACGAUGAGUGCUAAGUGUUAGAGGGUUUCCGCCCUUUAGUGCUGAAGUUAACGCAUUAAGCACUCCGCCUGGGGAGUACGGUCGCAAGACUGAAACUCAAAGGAAUUGACGG